RNAcentral lists this ribosomal RNA (353 nucleotides) under uncultured bacterium. RNAcentral describes it as "bacterial SSU rRNA". It matches the Rfam family "Bacterial small subunit ribosomal RNA", at positions 28 to 380 of the family's 1533-position model. The record is from RNAcentral.
GACGAACGCUGGCGGCGUGCUUAACACAUGCAAGUCGAGCGGUAAGGCCCUUUCGGGGGUACACGAGCGGCGAACAGGUGAGUAACACGUGGGUGACCUGCCCUCAGCUCUGGGAUAAGCCUGGGAAACCGGGUCUAAUACCGGAUAUGACUCCAUGACGCAUGUUGUGGGGUGGAAAGCCUUGUGCGGCUGAGGAUGGGCCCGCGGCCUAUCAGCUUGUUGGUGGGGUGAGGCCUACCAAGGCGACGACGGGUAGCCGGCCUGAGAGGGCGACCCGGCCACACUGGGACUGAGACACGGCCCACGACUCCUACGGGAGGCAGCAGUGGGGGAAUCUUGCGCAAUGGGCGAAA